GUUUGUGGGGGUGUGAGCAUUAGCUGCUCUAACCCCACACAUCCUGUCUCCUCUCAGUCUCAGAGGCAUCAGCAGAGGAAACUUCAUGCAGCGUCUCCCUGAGCACAGGAUGGACUUUCUGCUUCACAGGACGUGUCCUCUCUGAGGAGCUGCCCUCUGGGUAUGAAGAUGUGGAGGACAGUGAGGGAGACCCUCUCUCAGGUUCAGCUUUGAUGGUGACAGGAGAGACAGCAGAGGACUAUGAUGAUGUAGAUGGUAUAGAGCAGGGUCCACAUGUUAUACAGGGUGAGAGAGCCUUGACCACACUGCCCCCUGGGGACGGCCCCCCUGAACCCGACCAGACUGACUAUGAUGAUGUGGGGGAUGAGGGACUGACAGUCCUGCCUGAGGAAGCUCCUGUCCAAAUGUUUAAAUAAAAGGGGCAAAUUUUAUACAGACAUAUCACUAGUUCAGUUUUUCUGAAUUAAGCUCUUUGUGUUUUUGAGAUGGGCAAUGUCCUUUAUUAAUGACCAUAUCUUUGUAUUGUUAUUCAUGAAGAGA
This is a non-coding RNA of Paramormyrops kingsleyae, 540 nucleotides long. Lineage: Eukaryota; Metazoa; Chordata; Actinopteri; Osteoglossiformes; Mormyridae. The record is from RefSeq and is a predicted model, not a curated record.